CGUUUCUUCUGCAAAGUCUGGACCAGGAUUUGGAGGGGCAAAUUUCCAGAAUCAUAGACCAGUGCAUGCAGGACAACUGAUCUUGGCAAGGAAGGAAAGCAGACUUUCAUAGCGGUGCCAGGACACUCACUCCCUUUGCAGGUUGGCAACAGGUGCCAGUCCCCAGGACGUGCUGGGAGGAGUGUGUGCAGGAGAAGCCACAGAAGAUAUGCCAGAGAACCAAAGGGGUUGGUGGCCACAGCUUCCCACACUGCCCACAGAGAACUGAGCACCCAAGCCAACUGAGGAAAGGAUGAGGAG
This is a long non-coding RNA of Cyanistes caeruleus (blue tit), 300 nucleotides long. RefSeq lists it as uncharacterized. NCBI's taxonomy places the organism in Eukaryota, Metazoa, Chordata, Aves, Passeriformes, Paridae. The record is from RefSeq and is a predicted model, not a curated record.